AACGCAAAUUGCGCCUCUCUCCGGGAGGCAUGUCUGUUUGAGGGUCUUUUUUAAUGGAUAAUACUGCAAUUUUUGUUGUGGUACGUUUAUGGGCUUUCCGAGAAUUUUCUUGAAAAAUUAUCGGUGGCUUUGAAAAAAAGGACCAUUAGCACAGAUUUUUGCAACGACGGGUAGUAAAAAAGCAUCAAUAUAUGCGCAAAUACAAAAAACCUGUUUUAGUGAGAAUUUGUUGCAGUGGAGGUGAGAUAGGGUGUGGCAAGCUAAGCUCCAAGCUAAUAAGUUAAGCUAAGUUACCCAAGAGCAAAGCCACUCUUUCCCAAUAUGGAAAGAAAAUGGAAUAUUUAUAUUCCUUUAUUAUGAGACCUCAAAUCAGACAAGAAUACCCGCUGAACUUAA
This 396-nucleotide unclassified non-coding RNA is filed under the name uncultured Paraglomeraceae. RNAcentral's name for it is "sequence contains ITS2". Lineage: Eukaryota; Fungi; Glomeromycota; Glomeromycetes; Paraglomerales. The record is from RNAcentral.